Molecule: ribosomal RNA, 528 nt
Filed under: Cryptosporidium ryanae
Lineage: Eukaryota; Apicomplexa; Conoidasida; Eucoccidiorida; Cryptosporidiidae
Description: SSU rRNA
Rfam family: Eukaryotic small subunit ribosomal RNA
Source: RNAcentral
GGAAGGGUUGUAUUUAUUAGAUAAAGAACCAAUGUUUUUGGUGACUCAUAAUAACUUUACGGAUCACACUAUGUGACAUAUCAUUCAAGUUUCUGACCUAUCAGCUUUAGACGGUAGGGUAUUGGCCUACCGUGGCUAUGACGGGUAACGGGGAAUUAGGGUUCGAUUCCGGAGAGGGAGCCUGAGAAACGGCUACCACAUCUAAGGAAGGCAGCAGGCGCGCAAAUUACCCAAUCCUAAUACAGGGAGGUAGUGACAAGAAAUAACAAUACAGAGCCUUACGGUUUUGUAAUUGGAAUGAGUUAAGUAUAAACCCCUUAACAAGUAUCAAUUGGAGGGCAAGUCUGGUGCCAGCAGCCGCGGUAAUUCCAGCUCCAAUAGCGUAUAUUAAAGUUGUUGCAGUUAAAAAGCUCGUAGUUAAUUUUCUGUUAAUUUUUAUAUACAAUGCUACGGUAUUUAUAUAAUAUUAACAUAAUUCAUAUUACUUUUUAGUAUAUGAAACUUUACUUUGAGAAAAUUAGAGUGCUU